GAAACAUCAGUUGUCAUCUGCACAGACUCCUCCAAUGUUAAAUGAACAAUUCUGGCCAUCAAAUACCCUUAUGGAAACUGUACCCACAGCUGGCAGAUCUGCUUCAUCACACACAGGUUUUGCAAUGGGACUGCUUUAAGGACAAGCCACACCCGCAGGAAACCCUCGGACGUCACAGGAGCUCAGCUGAGCAGUGGGGGUUUCAAUUAAAAACCACAGGAAAGGAAAGGAAUAUGUCAAUAAAACCACACACUU
Molecule: long non-coding RNA, 255 nt
Organism: Empidonax traillii (willow flycatcher)
Lineage: Eukaryota; Metazoa; Chordata; Aves; Passeriformes; Tyrannidae
Exons: 3
Source: RefSeq, a predicted model, not a curated record